UCCGGCUUAUCACCGGCAGUCCCUCUAGAGUGCCCAACUAAAUGCUGGCAACUAAAGGCGAGGGUUGCGCUCGUUGCGGGACUUAACCCAACAUCUCACGACACGAGCUGACGACAACCAUGCAGCACCUGUCACCGGUCCAGCCGAACUGAAGAAACCCGUCUCCGGGUUCCGCGACGCCCAUGUCAAGGGCUGGUAAGGUUCUGCGCGUUGCUUCGAAUUAAACCACAUGCUCCACCGCUUGUGCGGGCCCCCGUCAAUUCCUUUGAGUUUCAGUCUCGCGACCGUACUCCCCAGGCGGCGAACUUAACGCGUUAGCUUCGAUACUGCGUGCCAAAUUGCACCCAACAUCCAGUUCGCAUCGUUUAGGGCAUGGACUAC
Molecule: unclassified non-coding RNA, 381 nt
Filed under: uncultured Pseudomonadota bacterium
Lineage: Bacteria; Pseudomonadati; Pseudomonadota
Description: uncultured proteobacterium contains 16S-23S intergenic spacer region
Source: RNAcentral